GCCCUCGUGGUGUAACGGUAGCACACUCGUGUAUUCGAGAGAUCCAGGUUCGAAUCCCGGCAAGGGCA
RNAcentral lists this transfer RNA (68 nucleotides) under Stegodyphus mimosarum. It matches the Rfam family "tRNA". Rfam says of the family: Transfer RNA (tRNA) molecules are approximately 80 nucleotides in length. Their secondary structure includes four short double-helical elements and three loops (D, anti-codon, and T loops). Lineage: Eukaryota; Metazoa; Arthropoda; Arachnida; Araneae; Eresidae. The record is from Rfam by way of RNAcentral.